CAGCAGCCGCGGUAAUACAGAGGGUGCGAGCGUUAAUCGGAUUUACUGGGCGUAAAGCGUGCGUAGGCGGCUUCUUAAGUCGGAUGUGAAAUCCCUGAGCUUAACUUAGGAAUUGCAUUCGAUACUGGGAAGCUAGAGUAUGGGAGAGGAUGGUAGAAUUCCAGGUGUAGCGGUGAAAUGCGUAGAGAUCUGGAUGAAUACCGAUGGCGAAGGCAGCCAUCUGGCCUAAUACUGACGCUGAGGUACGAAAGCAUGGGGAGCAAACAGGAUUAGAUACCCGCGUAGUCCCUGUCUCUUAUCC
This 301-nucleotide ribosomal RNA is filed under the name uncultured bacterium. Its description in RNAcentral is "partial 16S ribosomal RNA". It matches the Rfam family "Bacterial small subunit ribosomal RNA", at positions 509 to 809 of the family's 1533-position model. The record is from RNAcentral.